GAUGAACGCUAGCGGCAGGCUUAACACAUGCAAGUCGAGGGGCAGCGGGGAGUAGCAAUACUCCGCCGGCGACCGGCGCACGGGUGCGUAACGCGUAUGCAACCUACCUUUAACAGGGGCAUAACACUGAGAAAUUGGUACUAAUUCCCCAUAACAUUCGAGAAGGCAUCUUCUUGGGUUAAAAACUCCGGUGGUUAAAGAUGGGCAUGCGUUGUAUUAGCUAGUUGGUGAGGUAACGGCUCACCAAGGCAACGAUACAUAGGGGGACUGAGAGGUUAACCCCCCACAUUGGUACUGAGACACGGACCAAACUCCUACGGGAGGCAGCAGUGAGGAAUAUUGGUCAAUGGACGCAAGUCUGAACCAGCCAUGCCGCGUGCAGGAAGACGGCUCUAUGAGUUGUAAACUGCUUUUGUACUAGGGUAAACGCUUCUACGUGUAGGAGCCUGAAAGUAUAG
This 458-nucleotide ribosomal RNA is filed under the name uncultured bacterium. RNAcentral's name for it is "bacterial SSU rRNA". It matches the Rfam family "Bacterial small subunit ribosomal RNA", at positions 28 to 480 of the family's 1533-position model. The record is from RNAcentral.